Sitophilus oryzae (rice weevil) is the source of this 892-nucleotide long non-coding RNA. RefSeq lists it as uncharacterized. Lineage: Eukaryota; Metazoa; Arthropoda; Insecta; Coleoptera; Curculionidae. The record is from RefSeq and is a predicted model, not a curated record. The transcript is spliced from 2 exons.
ACCGCCGCACAGUGUGAAAUUUACGCGUUGUAGCUGGAAAAAAAUAUUUCAGCGACUCUUUUAAUGAAAUAUUAGUCUUUUUCGUUUUUAUAUAAGAAAUUUUAUCAAGGCAAGGUAGAUCAUGCACCAAAAUAAUCAUAGUCGGGCAUAUACAGGGUCUCUCAUAAUGUUUGGUAAAUAUGGGAAACUGUUGUACCCUUGAUUAUGUAUAAAUAGAUGUACAAUGAGGGCUUAGUACAAGCCCGUCUUCUAGGUGGCGCCUUGCCCGUUCUGAAUUUUUGUAUUCCCCUACGAUUUUCUUUGAGGGGAAUCCGUUAAACCCGCCCAUCGUUCAAAAAUGGAAGGGCGCGAGGUCACAUCUAUUGGGCCACUUAUUAGCACGUUUCACCCAUGUUUUACGAAAAUAGCUUUAUCCUUGUUUGUUUCAACUGUGACAAGAAAAAAGGAAAAAAGUUAUAUUCGCUUCUAAAUUCGGCAGUUUUGUUGAUCUUUCUCGACUUGUAAUUUCGUUUCGUUUAGGUUAUGUCUUAUAAAAAUAAAUAUUUAUAAGCUUUUGAAUUGAGAUAUACCUUAAUGCAUAUCUGAGUAAUUAAAAAAUUCAGUUUUUUCGUCCCUCGCGAAGAAACAUAAACAGUAUUUGUGAAAUUUGGAUUAGAAGCUAUUAUUUUAUUAGUUUAUUUUGUUGUGUUUAAGUGUUGUGUAUUUGUACCUACUGGAUAAUAUUUUCCAACAUAUUUAAUUAAGCAAAAAGCAUCUGUUUUACAGGUGUGACUGCUAAGUGGUCGUACUCGCCACUUUAACCAAGCAUUGGUGGGACCUUCAGAGAUCAUAAUGCGAAUUUCUUCAUACCAUGUAAAUCUAUAUACAUGUAUUAAUAAAUGCGUUUGCUUUA